UUUUCCUACGGGGCGCAGCAGUGGGGAAUAUUGCACAAUGGGGGAAACCCUGAUGCAGCAACGCCGCGUGAGUGAAGAAGUAUUUCGGUAUGUAAGGCUCUAUCAGCAGGGAAGAAGAAAGACGGUACCUGACUAAGAAGCCCCGGCUAACUACGUGCCAGCAGCCGCGGUAAUACGUAGGGGGCAAGCGUUAUCCGGAUUUACUGGGUGUAAAGGGAGCGUAGACGGCAGCGCAAGUCUGGAGUGAAAUGCCGGGGCUCAACCCCGGAACUGCUUUGGAAACUGGGCAGCUAG
RNAcentral lists this ribosomal RNA (294 nucleotides) under uncultured bacterium. RNAcentral describes it as "partial 16S ribosomal RNA". It matches the Rfam family "Bacterial small subunit ribosomal RNA", at positions 334 to 644 of the family's 1533-position model. The record is from RNAcentral.